This 385-nucleotide long non-coding RNA is filed under the name Dromaius novaehollandiae (emu). RNAcentral describes it as "lncRNA (ENSDNVG00000017649.1)". Lineage: Eukaryota; Metazoa; Chordata; Aves; Casuariiformes; Dromaiidae. The record is from RNAcentral.
AUAGCCAACUAGCAGAACCAAGUGCAUUGCGCAGCCAGAGGGAAGCACUGAUUGUGUGCCAUGUGCGGUCCACUGGUGACGGAGGACAGCUGAGCUGGGCACAGGGAUGCUGUCCUGCGGUGUGCUGUCAUGGAGAAUAUCCAAGCAGGUGCAACUGGCUCCAGAAACACCUACUCAGGAGAUAACCUUGAAAGUCAAAAAAUGAUUCCCUUAUCUGCCGGCUGUUGGAUUUCUGUGCACAGACACUGAAAAGGGAAGUCUGAGGAGAACUUUUUGACCAGGACAUGUCAGAAAAACUUCAGUUUACUGUGCUCUCAAGAAUAUCUAGCCUACAGCUGCCAUGUAAGUACCAUUUUUAAGUACCAUUUUUUUUUUAAAUUUAAGA